AACUUAAUAGUGACAAUAAUAACAAUGAAGGUACACCGAUGAAAACAAAUUAUCAAAAUGAUUGGUAUACAACAGAAUAUUAUAAAAAUAAUAAAAAUUAUGAACAAAUAACAGAUGAUAAUAUUCCCUUUGAACAUAGUAAACAACCUUUGACAAAUGCUAAAAAUAAUAGUUAUAUUAUUCCAGAAAAUAAACAUAUGCUAUAUCAAAACGGAGGUUCAAUUGUAAAAGACUUAUUCAAUAAAGAUAUUUUCGAAAAAAAAAAUACAUUUUUAAAUGAAGCACAUGAAAAUUUAAAUAUCAAAAACAACACAUAUUUACAUAUACCGUUUAAAAAAGAAAUGGGUAAUAAUAAAAGUGAAUCAUAUGAAAAUGAAGCAAGCUCAAGUUAUAAUUAUAAACAUGAUUUACAUUCUACUUCUAAACAAACUUUAGAUUAUUAUUCAAAAGAAAAUUUAAUGCAAGACGAUAGAACAAAAAUGGAUAGACAUUCUGAACAUGAACAGCACAAUAAUAAUUUCAAUAACAAACAAAAAAUGUUAAACAUAUUACCAUACAAUUUAGAUACAAAAAAAAAAGAGGAAAUUUUAUUUGAUUCAUUUAAUAAAGAUUGUAAUUAUAAUUAUAAUAAUAAUAGUGAUAAUAUCAAUAAUAAUGAUAAUAAUGAAAACAGUUACAGUGAUAACAAUAAUGAUGAAACAAAUUAUGGCUAUGUAAAUUCUACUAACAAUAAUUUAAUGACCAUGGAAAAUUUUAAUUAUUUAAAUAGUGGUUAUAAUUAUAACAAUAAUAAUAUUGUUGAUAAGGAAAAACUAUUUAACGAUGAUAUACAUACGAAUACAAUGAAGAAUACAAAAAAUAAUAACAAUGUAGUAUUAUCAUUAAAUGAAAAAAAUAAUAAUCUGCCUGUACAAUACAAACAAAAUUUAUAUACUCCAAUGGAAAACCUUACAUUCACAGAACAAAACAAAACAUACAUGCAUUUACCAAAAUACAAAUACAGUGAAAACAGUAGCAAUAAUAACAACAAUAAUGAUUAUCCAAAUUUCACAAAAAAAAUAAUGAGUUCUAAUUUGUCACACCUCGAAACGGAACAUAGUAAUAUUCUAUCUUAUUAUAAUCAUGCAAAUACUACCCGACAAAUUGGUGGAAAUGCAGCAGGAGCUAUUUCGAAUAAUAAUUAUACGAUGUGCAAUUUAGUCGAAAAAGAAAACAGGUCAACGCGUACCGAGCGAGUGCAUUUCGAACCGACGUAUACUACACCAAUAAAUAAUGAAUGUUUUACAAUCAAAACAUUAAAUAAAUAUGAUUAUAAUAUGCAAGAUAACCAUCCAAACGAAUCAAAGAGUACAUUUUAUCCAAAUACUAUGAAACCAAAAUAUUCAGAAAUCGACGAGUAUAAUCAUAUUACAAAUAAAGAGCGUGAUGAUACUUCUUCUGAUGAAUUAUUUUAUAAUGACAUUCAAAAUGACCACACUAGACACACUGACAAUAACGAAAAUAACAACCAGAAACACAUGUUUAACAUAAAUAAUCACCAUAACAUAAAAAAAAACAGCACAAGUGCAAUUAAUAAUAAUAGUGACAUCGAUUAUCAAAAUGUGGCAACAGAUAUUGUACAAAAUGUAUCUACAAAUAUAAACGAUAAAAAUUAUAAUAAUAUCAUUGAUAAUAAUACUGAACAAAAUCUCUUUUUAAAUAAAUAUAUAGAAAAUAAUUAUAACAUGGAAGAAAUACAAAACUGUUUACCCCAACCUGUUUUAUAUAGUAAACAGAAGUUUGACGUACCUGAAGUUUUUCAAGGCUUAACUACCAAAAAUGAUAAUGGUAUAAUAUCAGAAUGUACACAAGAUUCUAUCAUGGAAUAUAAUAAUAAAUGGAGACUAAUUAAAAACAAACAAUUUGCAAUAAGUCAAAAUGAAACUUUGAAAUCUAUGGAAGACGCAGUUAUACCAUUCCAAAAAUAUUUGAAUGAACAUAAUGAAUAUACAAAACAAUUAAUUAAAAAUAGUAAUUUUAAUCCUUUAACUGGUAAAUUAACAAUUUAUCCAUUAGUAUCACAAAAUAAUAACAACGCAUUAAAUCUAAAAAAAGUACAUGAUUAUAAAGAUAUAGCACUUGCGUACCCUUAUUCUUUUAAUCUUAAUUCAAAACAAAUUACUACUACUAUAGAUAACGAUUCUGUUGCAACAAACGAACAAAAUAAUGAUGUAAUAAAAAAUAAAAUAAAAGAUACUGCCGUGAUACCAAAAAAUAUAAAUGAGCAUGUUAUUAGUGAAAAUGUUAACAAAUCAAAUGAUCAAACUAUAAAAAAAAAAAAAUUGGUAAAAAAAGAAAGAUUGCCAGUAUGUGGCGAUUAUUAUUUGAAACAUAAAAUAAAAACAUAUCUAUCUGAGGGAAUGAAAAAUUACUUUAACGUUAAUUUGUUUAAUUAAUAUGUAUGUAUGUAUGUAUGUAUGUAUAAUGCGCUUAUUAUAAAAGCUAUAUUUUGCUCAAUUGUUUUUUUUUUUUUAAAUUAAUAGUUUAUGUAUGUUUGUACGUUCACACAUAAUAUAUAUACAUCUAAAAUGUAUGCAUAAAUGUUCAAUUUUUAUUUAAUUUUUAUUGAGGUUAUAUAUUUUGUGGAGCUAUACAAUGUUUUUUUUUUUUUUUUUUUUUUUUUUUUUUUAAAACAAAACUCAUUAUAAUAAGCUAUAUAGCUGUAGAACAUAUGCGAGAUUAAUUAUCUUUUUAACUUGAAUAAUAUUGUGUUAGUAUAAAUGUUUUUAUACGUAUAUAAAUAUAUAUAUGCAUGUGUAUAUGUUCGUAUACGCUGAUAUAUAUAUAUAUAUAUAUGUGUAUAUAUAGUCAAUUUAUAUAUCUUCAUCACGUUUAUGAGCAGGAAAAAAAUAUAUAUUUUUAUAAUUCCUUUGAAAAUUAAGAAACAACAUAAAGAUAUAAUCGUGCAUAAAAUUAAAUAUAUGUUAAUAUAUAUAUAUAUAUAUAUAUAUAUAUGUAUAUCAAUGUAUGUCUAUUUGAUCUUUGUAUUAUUUUAUUUUAUAUUUUUUAUGCCACAUGUUUCUCAAUUAGUUGUUUCAAAGCAGCAUCAUUAGCUCCUAACAAUGUUUCCACAACGGUACCCUUUUUAUAAACUUUAAAUGUUGGCAUAGAGGUUAUG
Long non-coding RNA from Piliocolobus tephrosceles (Ugandan red Colobus), 3157 nucleotides. NCBI's taxonomy places the organism in Eukaryota, Metazoa, Chordata, Mammalia, Primates, Cercopithecidae. The record is from Ensembl.